Non-coding RNA from Paramuricea clavata, 216 nucleotides. The record is from the annotation of a GenBank genome assembly. NCBI's taxonomy places the organism in Eukaryota, Metazoa, Cnidaria, Anthozoa, Malacalcyonacea, Plexauridae.
AUUUAAAACUUACGUUCUAAAUAGGGGGAGUGUGUCGGGAAAAAGGUUGACAUUAAUAAUUAGUAGUUAAAUUUAGAGAUGAGGUGACUACCAUAUAUGGAAUUGAUUGACAGGCAUGAGAUAAAAGGAAUGCUGUUAAUGUUGUUAUUGCAUGGGAAUAUAUGUAACUGGGAGCGAUUUGGGAAGGGAUUAUAAUACAAAACACAAGAUAAACGC